Molecule: ribosomal RNA, 399 nt
Filed under: uncultured bacterium
Lineage: Bacteria
Description: bacterial SSU rRNA
Rfam family: Bacterial small subunit ribosomal RNA
Source: RNAcentral
GAAUAUUGCACAAUGGGGGAAACCCUGAUGCAGCAACGCCGCGUGAGCGAUGAAGGCCUUCAGGUCGUAAAGCUCUGUCCUAAGGGAAGAAUAAUGACGGUACCUUAGGAGGAAGCCCCGGCUAACUACGUGCCAGCAGCCGCGGUAAUACGUAGGGGGCAAGCGUUAUCCGGAAUCACUGGGCGUAAAGGGUGCGUAGGCGGCCGAUAAAGUCUGGGGUGAAAGGCUACGGCUUAACCGUAGUAAGCCUUGGAAACUUAUUGGCUUGAGUGCAGGAGAGGUAAGUGGAAUUCCUAGUGUAGCGGUGAAAUGCGUAGAUAUUAGGAGGAACACCAGUGGCGAAGGCGACUUACUGGACUGUAACUGACGCUGAGGCACGAAAGCGUGGGGAGCGAACAG